This is a long non-coding RNA of Tyto alba (common barn owl), 2868 nucleotides long. RefSeq lists it as uncharacterized. The record is from RefSeq and is a predicted model, not a curated record. The transcript is spliced from 3 exons. NCBI's taxonomy places the organism in Eukaryota, Metazoa, Chordata, Aves, Strigiformes, Tytonidae.
GGCUGGCGUCGCGCCCCGCUGCUGCCAGCCCGCGGCGGUACCCCGGGCCCGUUGCCCGCCCCCCCCGGGGGAGGGGGUACGGCCGACGGCCGGCUUCUCGCAGCACGGCGGGCGCACGUGUGGGCCCUCGCUGCCUUUCCCCGGGCUCUCUGGGGGCGGGCGGGAACGGGCGGCGGGCCCUGGGUGCCGGGGCCUGGGUGCCCUGAGCGUCGCCCACUGCCCAGGGAAGGUGAGGGCGCCGGGGCCCUGCCCGCGCAGGAUUCCCCUUCGCCGCCGCGCCGUUCCGCGCGAGUCGGGGCAAUCCAGGAGCUGCUCCAGAGGCCCCAACAGGUUCCCAGCCAAGCCUGGGGUCACCGGCAUGCAAAAGGAUCCCAGCUCCAGAGGUUCAGGGAAGUGGGCAGGGCGUACAGAUUCCACAUCUCUGAGGGACAUUUGUUGUCUUCAGAAGUGUCAGGGACCGAUUCUGCAUCUGAUACAAACGCUUCAAGCACUGGCAGCCCCCAAGCCCAGGGGUCUCCUCAUCAUUAGUUUUAGGUUGAGACUGCAUCAUGACUGUGCCUAAGCAAAUACAAAUGUCUUAUUCACAGGUUUGGCUGGACUAUAAUGCAUCUGCCCUAAGUAAGCUUGUAUAAAAAUGAGAGGUCUCACAUUCCUCUACCAUGUUAUCUCCACAUGUAGCAAAGCAUUUCUGCCAACCUUUGUUUGGCAUCAGCAUUACUGAUUUGUCUGAAACCCUAUCAAAAAUAACAACACACACACACCCCCACACACCCCGCUUUAGUUCUGAGUUGGAAUAAUUCCCUCAUCCAGUUUUCCAUGUAACUGCACAAGGAAGAGAACUUAUCUGUGGUGGUUACGCAAAGACGGGCCCUUUCCACGGCAGCCUGAAUAUAGGUCAGCCUGAGGGGAUGAUGUUGAGGAGGGGGAAGCAUGGCUGUAGAGAAGAAUUCUUGUAAAACUAGACCCUCAAGCUCUCUCUUUGGCUAAUGAGAUUGGUUUCAUCCAGGAGACUACUGAGAAUAGUAGUCUGGGUGAGUUGGGAGUAGAGGAAAGGGGGUUGCAUAGAGAACUGUAGACUCUGCAUUGGGAUGUUAUGGGUUGACUCUAAAAGUAUCUUUUUCAGUCCCUGAUUAUUUUAAAUCAGAUAAACACCGGUGUACAGAUUCAAGUCCAAACAUAUGUUGUUUAAAAUAUGCAUUCACUUCAGGCAAAAGACACACCCAGAAGCUGUCUGAUUUUUUUUUUUUUUACAUAUCAUUAACGCAUUGAAAUCGGAUACUGCUUUCAAGUAACCUACCUCCAGAAAAGGGCAACCUUCAAUCAGGCUGGUUUUAGCAGUUUAUUAAAAGUAAGUAAUUUACCUAUUACUAAGUUAAGCAAAACCAAAUUAAGAUACGUUUUCUGUUGAAAGUUAAAAUUAGAACACCUUUUAUAAUAUUAUUAACUUUAACAGGUUGCUUAAGCUAAAUUCAGGUUUUUUAGUCAGUUUUCAAAGGAGUCUCAAGCCACCUCAAGAGGCAAUUGCAUGUAGUUGUACGUAGUUAUAUACAGCUAAAUCUGAAGGAUUUAUGUCAAAAGAAGUGAACAGUUACAUCUACUAAAUGAUUAUGUCCAUUAAGGCCACCUUGGGAAUUAAGAGUCUCCCUAUAUACUCCUGGAUCACCAGGUAAUCAAAAUCUGUGUCUAGUAUUCUUUUUCGAUUUUCUGCUUUUCAUGGGUAAAUAAAGUGAUUUAGGUAGUGUUCAGCAGCAAAAAGUAGAAGCAAAGCAGAACAACAUUGCUUAUGCUCUGACACUUCUCAAUUCUGAUAGAGCAAGAUAGAAAUCAGUGACCUAUCUAUCCACUUCCCUAUCAGUAAAUGGCAGAAUUAAUGUUCUGUCUGUUUAUUCCUAAACUUUCCCAAUUCUAUUUUAUUUCCAAAGAUGACAUGUAGGAUUAUCUGGGAGAAGGAAAUAAAGAGUUCAUCCGCUCAAGAUCAUCACUCCCUAUUGCAGGUUCCCUGAUUUAAUCUGUUUAAAAAAAAAAAAAAAAAGAAAAAAAAUCUUAAGGCUGACAAAACUUUUUCUAAAGCCACAGCUGGAGAGAGAGAUGAACCAGUGAGACCCAUCCUGCUCAAAAAAAAUAAAAGUGGAGCAGGACAUGAUUUUUGCAGAAGCUGCUUGCAUACACAAUAUCACUUGCAAUAGGCAGUAGAAGGUUUUGCCUCUGGUACCUGUCUGGAUGUUACUAGAGUCCCACAAAAACUCCUUAUUGGAUGCAGAAGACCUUUUUCACUCCUUUACUUUGUGUAAACAAGUAUCUCAUCCAAUAUCGUGGAGUAUUUUUCAUGGAAAUUACACUAAAAGCAAAGGUUUCCCACACUCCUUUUCUUCUGCCCAUUGAGUAUAGCAAUUUAUAUUACUUUCAGUUUAUAAUAGCUCUAAGACUUCAUGACCAUUUAUUUCAACUCCUGUGAUUAACCAUUGCAAUUUCACUUGUGUUUGAGGAAAAUAAUAAAUUUUUCUUAAAAAAUUUCCUAGUAAUUGUGACUCUCCUACUAGUGUGUCAUAAGUCCAUGGUGAAUAUCCCAAGGUGCAUACAGAAAUUUAUUUUUAGUAGUAAUUAUACUCGACUUUAUAUGAUCCAACACUGAAACCAUGAAAACCAAAUUAUACAUAAUUUGAAUGCACUGAUUACAACCAGAAAAACCAUAUGAACUCUAUCUGAAAACUUUGCCUAGGGCAGAAAAUGUUCAGCUUUUAUAGAAUUCAUCCAAACAGUGAGUGUUUGCCUCCAUUACAAAUAAACUUAAACAUCCUAAGGCAAUCCACAUUAGUGAUGAUUGUUAAUGUCUUCAAGUCAUGUCCUGCAUGGGGCUAAGUGGGAAGU